Non-coding RNA from Cricetulus griseus (Chinese hamster), 3386 nucleotides. The record is from RefSeq and is a predicted model, not a curated record. Lineage: Eukaryota; Metazoa; Chordata; Mammalia; Rodentia; Cricetidae.
UCAUGAGGCACAGUCUCUCACAGAACCUUACAGACUGAGCCAGCCUAGUUAGCCAGCAGGCCCCCACAAUCUACCUGUCCCCAGCCCACAGCCUUUGGAUCAUCGGCACCCGUGGCUUUUUAACAUGGGUGCUGGGAUCUGAACUCAAGUUCUCAGCGAUCACUUUACAAAAUGGACCAUCUCUCCAGCCCAACACUUCCUUUUAAUCCUUUUCAACAUGCCAAGACUUAUUACAAGCACUCCUAAAGCAUACUAAGAACAUGUGAAGAACAUCUUUCCUCUACAGUUACUUUCCAUUUCAACACAGAGCCUUUUUUUUUUAAAUCUUUUGUUCCAAACUUUGAAAGAUUUCCCAUUUGAGUGGAUGUUGGUACCCAUUGCGCGAAGCUCUUCAGACUUUAUAUUCUCCUGCAUCAGCUCCAUCUCAAACCCGCUCAUUCUCCUUUUGCCUUUGUUCUGUCUUUCCUGAAAUCUGUUUUCCUAAUUAAACCACCAAAUCAGUCAUAACUGUAAUCUUCAGAAGGUUCCAAGAACAUAGUUCAUUUCCUCACCCUUGAUCCCAUCUCUGAUUUAUAGCUGUCUAUGUAGUAUUAAUUAAGACAGAUUUCAUAAUGAAAUUCCUCUCAUUAUGAUACCAGUGCUCCUGGUAAACUCGAAUCUUGCUAAGGGCUCUUUUCUUAAGCACGAUCCCGCAUCCGUGAGGAAAAAACAUAAUUAGGGCCUCUAAUGGAAAGUUUUUAGAUGCGCACUCACUACGUAAUUUUCAAGCACUGUUUUGAAAUGUUUCGUGCUUUCUUUUCCCUCCCCCGGGUUCUGAGAAUGUUUCCCUGUGCUGUGCUGUGGCACUCUGGGGAGGACAUGUGACAUGAUUGCCAAGUUCAGGGCUGGGAUCUUUGUGACUCACUCAGCCCAGAAUUUGCAUGGCUAUGGAAAAAGCUUCGGGAUGACUGCUCAAUAAAGUGAUCCUAACUGCAUACUUAUCCCCAUCCCCACUUCAGCUCAGAAUGGCCAAGAGGUUGGGAAGGGGGCAUGAGGGUCCUUCCUCAUUUCUAGAACCACAGGCAGAUGUAGAGAGAGCUUUCAAAUGGCCAGCACUAUUCUACAACCUAGCUUUUACUCCUGUGUAAAGUGGGACCAAGAUGAUUUUUGAUGUGGGUCGUAAGAUCUCCAAAAGGCCAGAAAUAGUGUCUGGCAAGAGCACUGGGAUCCAGUUUCCUGUCCUAGUUGGGAAAGUAGCUUGGUGCUUCUGAGAGUUCUCUAAGGUCCUUGAAGAAAAUGACCAUGAGUCACUGACUGGGGAGAAAGCUGGAAUUUGGAAGCCCAAUAAGGCAGAACCUGUCUUCAGUGAAACCUCCAGUAUUUGUUACUAACGACUCCCGAUCACUGUUUUUAAUAUCACUUUGUCCUCAGUGUUUGCCAAGUCCUGGCAGGUAUGUAACAGAAAAACAUCUUUCUUCCUUCCCCAGCUCAUAAGCCCUGAGCCUUAAAACGAACCAAGCUUAAAUGUAUUUUCUUUUUAUAGAUAAUAAAACUGAGGUCAUGAAAGAUAAAAUGAUGUUUAAGGAUCAUCUAACAUGGUAGGUGAGUGACUAUAGAUGAUUAUUUCCAAAUGGCUAUUUUUUUUACAUCAAAGACAUGACAAACAUAAUAAAAUUACCCAAAACUAUUUUCAUUCUCUUCCCUGUAUUAGUUUGCUGUGUGGUUGUAACAAAUGACCACAGAAUUGAGGGCUCAAAGCAAUGCCGAUUUGUCAUCUGUUGAGAAUGAGUGAUGGCACUGGUAGGCCAUCAAGCCUCUGUCACUUCCACUGGCUCCACUUUACCACAUGUUCCUGACUUACUUUGGCAUUCUGUCCACAGCAAGCACAAGCUCUUUGUCCUGUUCCAAGUUCCAUUACUCCACACAUUGCACUUCCCAGGAUUACAACAAGAUGGGGAAGGGCAGGGCCAUACAGCCCGAGCAGAGUGUUAGACCCUAGCUUCACAAGCCAGCGGCCGAUGUGUUCAGGAGUGAGCUGUGUGGACAACGUGAAGUGGGCAGUGACAGCAGGAAACACACUGAGUCUGAGGGCCGCUGAGGAUUUACUGUUGGUCAUCUCCUGAGCAAAAGCUAUGAGUGGUACACCAUGGUGGUCCAUGAUAAAGGAAUAGUUGAGCGUUCCACAGUGUGGGCUGAUGUGAACACAUCCUGUAUGUCUUUGGUCUGCUUUGUUAAGUGAUUGAAGUUCAGUGUGUCCAACAUAUGGUGUUAAUAGUUUUUCGUUGUACCAUGUUCUGUUGUGUGUCUUGAUAGCUGUGGGAAAGUCCAGGUAUUGACUUAAUCCCAAUGUCUGCUGGUUGCUCAGGUGUACAAAGUGCUGAGUUCUUCUGUCUUGACUGUUAUCCAGGAUAGAGUCACUGAGGGCAAGGCACAGCCUGCUGUGUACAUUCUCUGAUAGUUCUCCGGGCGUGUCUGUAAGGGGUUGUCUACAUUGAGCUGAAAUCAGAAGACCUGCCCUGAAUGUAACGACCAUUGUUCCAGAGGCCUCCCAAAAGAGAAAGUGAACUGAGCAGCAGCAGUCAUAUCUUUGCAUCCUGACUGUGGAUGCUGUCUGACCAGCCACCUCAGGCUCCCGACACCACACCUGUCCCAUCAUACCAGAUCUUCCCUCAAGCCAUGAGCCGAAAUAAGCUGUUCUUUGAAUGGCUUCUGUCAGGUACGACAAGGACAACAUGCAUGGAAAGUUCUGUUUUUCUCUUCCAUCUGUAGACUCUUCUGUGCGUCUAUUCAUGUAGCCAGCACUUAAACUUGUUAAACAGCACUGUGGAUCAGACCAGUCCUGGGCACAGCACCGUGAGCAAGGCUUCCGUGCGUGGUCCCUGCCCUUUGAGUGUUCCAUAGGCGGAGGAGGAAGAACACUCACAACUACAGGGUUGGGCCAGCCCUCAUGUACUGCCACUAUAUCAAAGAAGCCUGGCUUCCUUUUCUCCUACCACAGGGUGAGACAAAUGCUCUGCAGAGCAGGAUCAUAACGAUUAUGGACUAAGAAUAUGGAGCGUGGGGAAACAGGGACAUUUCCGUUUCCUAUGUUCCUUAAGGUUUUGAAGAGUUCCUGAAAUCCUCCCAGUCUUUCUCACUGUGUAGCUAGUAGGCCAUAUUCUCUAGAAGGGCGGGCACACUGGGCACACUGGGAAGCAGGUGACUAUCAGGACCUGCCCAAUUCAGACUCUCCCCCCAAACAUUUAGAGGAUCCCCUGCCUCCUCGUCUAGGAGAGCAAAACCAGCUGAACUUUCUCCCACACAGUCUCUUGGUUUUGUUCUCUGAUACCCUCAUACUCGACUGCUGUGCCUCUGAGCUUGAGCAUAAUGUAAAUACUUAAUUUGUUUAAUAAAUAUCCUGAAAUGGC